Non-coding RNA from Nonlabens marinus S1-08, 28 nucleotides. The record is from Rfam. Lineage: Bacteria; Pseudomonadati; Bacteroidota; Flavobacteriia; Flavobacteriales; Flavobacteriaceae.
CAACCUCUGACGAUACUCGUGAAUGUUG